Molecule: ribosomal RNA, 474 nt
Filed under: uncultured Allobrachymonas sp.
Lineage: Bacteria; Pseudomonadati; Pseudomonadota; Betaproteobacteria; Burkholderiales; Comamonadaceae
Description: bacterial SSU rRNA
Rfam family: Bacterial small subunit ribosomal RNA
Source: RNAcentral
CAAAGGAAUUGACGGGACCCGCACAAGCGGUGGAUGAUGUGGUUUAAUUCGAUGCAACGCGAAAACCUUACCCACCUUUGACAUGGCAGGAAUCCUGAAGAGAUUUGGGAGUGCUCGAAAGAGAACCUGCACACAGGUGCUGCAUGGCUGUCGUCAGCUCGUGUCGUGAGAUGUUGGGUUAAGUCCCGCAACGAGCGCAACCCUUGCCAUUAGUUGCUACGAAAGGGCACUCUAAUGGGACUGCCGGUGACAAACCGGAGGAAGGUGGGGAUGACGUCAAGUCCUCAUGGCCCUUAUAGGUGGGGCUACACACGUCAUACAAUGGCCGGUACAGAGGGUAGCCAACCCGCGAGGGGGAGCCAAUCCCACAAAGCCGGUCGUAGUCCGGAUCGCAGUCUGCAACUCGACUGCGUGAAGUCGGAAUCGCUAGUAAUCGUGGAUCAGCAUGUCACGGUGAAUACGUUCCCGGGUCUU